CGGGGGGCUGCAGUUACGAAAACUUUACAAUGCACGAAAGUGUGAUAAGGGAAUUCCUAGUGCUCAUACUUUGUAUGGGCUUUUGUUAAGUGUAAAAAGCUUAGCGAAUAAGUGAUGGGUAAGACCGGUGCCAGCCGCCGCGGUAACACCGGCGUCACGAGUGGCAAUCAUGAUUAUUGGGCCUAAAGCGUCCGUAGCCGGUUUGAUAAAUUUCUUGUGAAAUUGUUUGGCUCAACCAAACAGCGUGCAAGAAAGACUGUCAGACUUGAAACCGGGAGGAGCUAGAGGUAUUCCAGGGGGAGCGGUAGAAUGCUAUAAUCCCUGGAGGACCACCUAUGGCGAAGGCUUCUAGCUAGAACGGAUUUGACGGUGAGGGACGAAAGCCAGGGGAGCGAUCCGGAUUAGAUACCCCAGUAGUC
RNAcentral lists this ribosomal RNA (419 nucleotides) under uncultured microorganism. Its description in RNAcentral is "bacterial SSU rRNA". It matches the Rfam family "Archaeal small subunit ribosomal RNA", at positions 326 to 746 of the family's 1478-position model. The record is from RNAcentral.